This 253-nucleotide ribosomal RNA is filed under the name uncultured bacterium. RNAcentral describes it as "partial 16S ribosomal RNA". It matches the Rfam family "Bacterial small subunit ribosomal RNA", at positions 524 to 776 of the family's 1533-position model. The record is from RNAcentral.
UACGAAGGGGGCUAGCGUUGCUCGGAGUCACUGGGCGUAAAGGGUGCGUAGGCGGGUCUUUAAGUCAGGGGUGAAAUCCUGGAGCUCAACUCCAGAACUGCCUUUGAUACUGGCGAUCUUGAGUCCGGGAGAGGUGAGUGGAACUGCGAGUGUAGAGGUGAAAUUCGUAGAUAUCGGGAAGAACACCCGUGGCGAAGGCGGCUCUCUGGAACGGUACUGACGCUGAGACGCGAAAGCGUGGGGAGCGAACAGG